UGGUGUGAGCCUUGUCCAGCGUGUGUGACUGGUUGACCAGAGGGGCAAGCACUCUGUUCAUCCUGGGGGCCACCUAGCCACCAACCCUCAGCACCCACCCCGCC
RNAcentral lists this microRNA precursor (104 nucleotides) under Mustela putorius furo (domestic ferret). Its description in RNAcentral is "microRNA 134 (ENSMPUG00000021104.1)". The stretch from base 17 to 89 matches the Rfam family "mir-134 microRNA precursor family". The record is from RNAcentral. Lineage: Eukaryota; Metazoa; Chordata; Mammalia; Carnivora; Mustelidae.